CCAGCCAUGCCGCGUGUGUGAAGAAGGUCUUCGGAUUGUAAAGCACUUUAAGUUGGGAGGAAGGGCAGUAAGUUAAUACCUUGCUGUUUUGACGUUACCGACAGAAUAAGCACCGGCUAACUCUGUGCCAGCAGCCGCGGUAAUA
This 145-nucleotide ribosomal RNA is filed under the name uncultured bacterium. RNAcentral's name for it is "partial 16S ribosomal RNA". It matches the Rfam family "Bacterial small subunit ribosomal RNA", at positions 388 to 525 of the family's 1533-position model. The record is from RNAcentral.